This 468-nucleotide ribosomal RNA is filed under the name uncultured bacterium. Its description in RNAcentral is "partial 16S ribosomal RNA". It matches the Rfam family "Bacterial small subunit ribosomal RNA", at positions 28 to 507 of the family's 1533-position model. The record is from RNAcentral.
GACGAACGCUGGCGGCGUGCUUAACACAUGCAAGUCGAACGGAAAGGCCCUGCUUUUGUGGGGUGCUCGAGUGGCGAACGGGUGAGUAACACGUGAGUAACCUGCCCUUGACUUUGGGAUAACUUCAGGAAACUGGGGCUACUACCGGAUAGGAGCUCCUGCUUCAUGGUGGGGGUUGGAAAGUUUCGGCGGUUGGGGAUGGACUCGCGGCUUAUCAGCUUGUUGGUGGGGUAGUGGCUUACCAAGGCUUUGACGGGUAGCCGGCCUGAGAGGGUGACCGGCCACAUUGGGACUGAGAUACGGCCCAGACUCCUACGGGAGGCAGCAGUGGGGAAUAUUGCACAAUGGGCGGAAGCAUGAUGCAGCAACGCCGCGUGCGGGAUGAAGGACUUCGGGUUGUAAACCGCUUUCGCCUGUGACGAAGAGUGAGUGACGGUAAUGGGUAAAGAAGCACCGGCUAACUACGUG